UUUCGAAUCAUUCACAAUGGGCGAAAGCCUGAUGGUGCGACGCCGCGUGAGGGAUGAAGGCCUUCGGGUUGUAAACCUCUGUCACCGGGGAAGAAACGCUUCAAGUUAAUAGCUUGAAGCCUGACUUAACCCGGAGAGGAAGCAGUGGCUAACUCUGUGCCAGCAGCCGCGGUAAUACAGAGACUGCAAGCGUUAUUCGGAUUCACUGGGCGUAAAGGGUGCGCAGGCGGCCAAGUGUGUCAGAUGUGAAAUCCCGAGGCUCAACCUCGGAACUGCGUCUGAAACUACUUGGCUAGAGUAUUGGAGAGGGUAACGGAAUUCACGGUGUAGCAGUGAAAUGCGUAGAUAUCGUGAGGAACACCAGAGGCGAAGGCGGUUACCUGGACAAUUACUGACGCUCAGGCACGAAAGCGUGGGGAGCAAAAGGG
RNAcentral lists this ribosomal RNA (428 nucleotides) under uncultured bacterium. Its description in RNAcentral is "bacterial SSU rRNA". It matches the Rfam family "Bacterial small subunit ribosomal RNA", at positions 355 to 776 of the family's 1533-position model. The record is from RNAcentral.